RNAcentral lists this small RNA (125 nucleotides) under Marmota monax (woodchuck). Lineage: Eukaryota; Metazoa; Chordata; Mammalia; Rodentia; Sciuridae. The record is from RNAcentral.
GCUAGGCGCAGUGGCACACGCCUGUAAUCCCAGUGACUCAGGAGGCUGAGGCAGGAGGAUUGCAAGUUCAAAGCCAGCCUCAGCAACAGUGAGGUGCUAAGCAACUCACUGAGACCCUGUCUCUA